GAAAGUCAUUUUUUUUAAUUUGUUGCUGGUAUUUUAGGAUUUUCAUUCUAACAUAUACAUGUUGCGAUACUGACUUUUUUUUUUGUACAAGUGAUAGUGUGUUUUUUAUUCUUGAUAAUUCAAGAACAUUCAAUAUUCUGCAUGACCAAAAAAAACUUUAAUUGAGUAAACAUGUGUCCUAAGACCCUGUUUGGCACAAAUAUUUUGAUAGACAAUCUUUUGUUUGCUACGAUGUGGAUGAUGGAUUUUGCACAUUUUUGGAUUUUUCAUUCCAACAUAUUUGUCCCGUAUGGUUUAUAAUCAAUAUUUAU
Molecule: long non-coding RNA, 311 nt
Filed under: Trifolium pratense (red clover)
Lineage: Eukaryota; Viridiplantae; Streptophyta; Magnoliopsida; Fabales; Fabaceae
Description: long non-coding RNA (TPRA_LNC013874)
Source: RNAcentral